CGGGAAACCGGAGCUAAUACCGGAUAACAUUUGGAACCGCAUGGUUCUAAAGUGAAAGAUGGUUUUGCUAUCACUUAUAGAUGGACCCGCGCCGUAUUAGCUAGUUGGUAAGGUAACGGCUUACCAAGGCGACGAUACGUAGCCGACCUGAGAGGGUGAUCGGCCACACUGGAACUGAGACACGGUCCAGACUCCUACGGGAGGCAGCAGUAGGGAAUCUUCCGCAAUGGGCGAAAGCCUGACGGAGCAACGCCGCGUGAGUGAUGAAGGGUUUCGGCUCGUAAAACUCUGUUAUUAGGGAAGAACAAACGUGUAAGUAACUGUGCACGUCUUGACGGUACCUAAUCAGAAAGCCACGGCUAACUACGUGCCAGCAGCCGCGGUAAUACGUAGGUGGCAAGCGUUAUCCGGAAUUAUUGGGCGUAAAGCGCGCGUAGGCGGUUUCUUAAGUCUGAUGUGAAAGCCCACGGCUCAACCGUGGAGGGUCAUUGGAAACUGGGAAACUUGAGUGCAGAAGAGGAAAGUGGAAUUCCAUGUGUAGCGGUGAAAUGCGCAGAGAUAUGGAGGAACACCAGUGGCGAAGGCGACUUUCUGGUCUGUAACUGACGCUGAUGUGCGAAAGCGUGGGGAUCAAACAGGAUUAGAUACCCUGGUAGUCCACGCCGUAACGAUGAGUGCUAAGUGUUA
Molecule: ribosomal RNA, 687 nt
Filed under: Staphylococcus sp.
Lineage: Bacteria; Bacillati; Bacillota; Bacilli; Caryophanales; Staphylococcaceae
Description: bacterial SSU rRNA
Rfam family: Bacterial small subunit ribosomal RNA
Source: RNAcentral